UACUAUGCUAAACUGCUGUUUAAUGGG
Molecule: small RNA, 27 nt
Filed under: Bombyx mori (domestic silkworm)
Lineage: Eukaryota; Metazoa; Arthropoda; Insecta; Lepidoptera; Bombycidae
Description: ovarian small RNA-21328
Source: RNAcentral